This 559-nucleotide ribosomal RNA is filed under the name uncultured bacterium. RNAcentral describes it as "bacterial SSU rRNA". It matches the Rfam family "Bacterial small subunit ribosomal RNA", at positions 338 to 915 of the family's 1533-position model. The record is from RNAcentral.
CCUACGGGAGGCAGCAGUGGGGAAUCUUGCGCAAUGGGCGAAAGCCUGACGCAGCAACGCCGCGUGCGGGAAGAAGGCUCUCGGGUUGUAAACCGCUUUCAGCAGGAACGAAAAUGACGGUACUUGCAGAAGAAGGUGCGGCCAACUACGUGCCAGCAGCCGCGGUGACACGUAGGCACCAAGCGUUGUCCGGAUUUAUUGGGCGUAAAGAGCUCGUAGGCGGUUCGGUAAGUCAGGUGUGAAAACUUUGGGCUCAACCCAAAGCCUGCAUCUGAUACUGCUGUGACUAGAGUUCGGUAGGGGAGCGGGGAAUUCCUAGUGUAGCGGUGAAAUGCGCAGAUAUUAGGAGGAACACCGGUGGCGAAGGCGCCGCUCUGGGCCGAAACUGACGCUGAGGAGCGAAAGCGUGGGUAGCAAACAGGAUUAGAUACCCUGGUAGUCCACGCCGUAAACGUUGGGCACUAGGUGUGGGUUUCAACCAACGAAAUCCGCGCCGUCGCUAACGCAUUAAGUGCCCCGCCUGGGGAGGACGGCCGCGAGUAACGUACAANAGAUGACG